This 63-nucleotide non-coding RNA is filed under the name Microbacterium sediminis. The record is from RNAcentral. Lineage: Bacteria; Bacillati; Actinomycetota; Actinomycetes; Micrococcales; Microbacteriaceae.
UCGGGGCCCGCGGCGGGCCCGCGGACGAGGGAGCUGUACCCGCACCACGACAAGACGGCCGGA